GCAGUCGAACGGACUCAUAUUGAAACCUAGUGAUUUAUGAGUUAGUGGCGGACGGGUGAGUAACGCGUGGAUAACCUGCCGUAUACCGGGGGAUAACACUUAGAAAUAGGUGCUAAUACCGCAUAAGCGCACGGCUCCGCAUGGGGCAGUGUGAAAAACUCCGGUGGUAUACGAUGGAUCCGCGUCUGAUUAGCUAGUUGGCGGGGUAACGGCCCACCAAGGCAGCGAUCAGUAGCCGGCCUGGGAGGGUGGACGGCCACAUUGGGACUGAGACACGGCCCAAACUCCUACGGGAGGCAGCAGUGGGGAAUAUUGCACAAUGGGGGAAACCCUGAUGCAGCGACGCCGCGUGAGUGAAGAAGUAUCUCGGUACGUAAAGCUCUAUCAGCAGGGAAGAAAAUGACGGUACCUGACUAAGAAGCCCCGGCUAACUACGUGCCAGCAGCCGCGGUAAUACGUAGGGGGCAAGCGUUAUCCGGAUUUACUGGGUGUAAAGGGAGCGUAGACGGCAGCACAAGUCUGGAGUGAAAUCCCGGGGCUUAACCCCGGAACUGCUUUGGAAACUGUGCGGCUGGAGUGCAGGAGGGGUAAGCGGAAUUCCUAGUGUAGCGGUGAAAUGCGUAGAUAUUAGGAGGAACACCGGUGGCGAAGGCGGCUUACUGGACUGUAACUGACGUUGAGGCUCGAAAGCGUGGGGAGCAAACAGGAUUAGAUACCCUGGUAGUCCACGCCGUAAACGAUGAUUACUAGGUGUCGGGGGAUCAAGGUCCUCCGGUGCCGGCGCAAACGCAUUAAGUAAUCCACCUGGGGAGUACGUUCGCAAGAAUGAAACUCAAA
RNAcentral lists this ribosomal RNA (837 nucleotides) under uncultured bacterium. Its description in RNAcentral is "bacterial SSU rRNA". It matches the Rfam family "Bacterial small subunit ribosomal RNA", at positions 57 to 905 of the family's 1533-position model. The record is from RNAcentral.